GACGAACGCUGGCGGCGUGCUUAACACAUGCAAGUCGAACGGAAAGGCCCUGCUUUUGUGGGGUGCUCGAGUGGCGAACGGGUGAGUAACACGUGAGUAACCUGCCCUUGACUUUGGGAUAACUUCAGGAAACUGGGGCUAAUACCGGAUAGGAGCUCCUGCUGCAUGGUGGGGGUUGGAAAGUUUCGGCGGUUGGGGAUGGACUCGCGGCUUAUCAGCUUGUUGGUGGGGUAGUGGCUUACCAAGGCUUUGACGGGUAGCCGGCCUGAGAGGGUGACCGGCCACAUGGGGACUGAGAUACGGCCCAGACUCCUACGGGAGGCAGCAGUGGGGAAUAUUGCCCAAUGGGCGGAAGCCUGAUGCAGCAACGCCGCGUGCGGGAUGACGGCCUGCGGGUUGUAAACCGCUUUCGCCUGUGACGAAGCGUGAGUGACGGUAAUGGAUAAAGAAGCACCGGCUAACUACGUG
This 468-nucleotide ribosomal RNA is filed under the name uncultured bacterium. RNAcentral's name for it is "partial 16S ribosomal RNA". It matches the Rfam family "Bacterial small subunit ribosomal RNA", at positions 28 to 507 of the family's 1533-position model. The record is from RNAcentral.